This 502-nucleotide ribosomal RNA is filed under the name uncultured bacterium. RNAcentral describes it as "partial 16S ribosomal RNA". It matches the Rfam family "Bacterial small subunit ribosomal RNA", at positions 29 to 507 of the family's 1533-position model. The record is from RNAcentral.
AGCGAACGCUGGCGGCGUGCCUAACACAUGCAAGUCGAACGUGAAAGGGAGCAAUCCCAAGUAAAGUGGCGUACGGGUGAGUAACACGUAGGUAAUCUACCCCAGAAUCUGGAAUAACCGGCCGAAAGGCUGGCUAAUACUGGAUAGAGCGACGGAAUCCGUAAUUGGGUUUUUCGGGAAAGGGAGCCUGUAAAAAGGCCUUCGUUCUGGGAUGAGCCUGCGUCCCAUCAGCUAGUUGGUGAGGUAAAAGCUUACCAAGGCAAUGACGGGUAGCUGGUCUGAGAGGACGAUCAGCCACACUGGAACUGAAACACGGUCCAGACUCCUACGGGAGGCAGCAGUGGGGAAGCUUGCGCAAUGGACGAAAGUCUGACGCAGCAACGCCGCGGGAGUGAAGAAGGCCUUCGGGUUGUAAAGCUCUGUCGAGUGGGACGAAAAUGCUUGGAGUUCACAGCUCCAGGAACUGACGGUACCACUAAAGGAAGCACCGGCUAACUCCGUG